GACGAACGCUGGCGGCGUGCUUAACACAUGCGAGUCGAACGGAAAGGCCAUGCUUGUAGGGUACUCGCGUGGCGAACGGGUGAGUAACACGUGGGUGAUCUGCCCUGCUCUUCGGGUUAAGUCUGGUCAACUGGGUCUAAUACCGGCUAGGAGCCAUUUUUAGUGUGAUGGUUGGAAAGUUUUUUCGGUGUUGGAUGAGCUCGCGGCCUAUCAGCUUGCUGGUGUGGUAAUGGCCUACCAAGGCGGCGACGGGUAGCCGGCCUGUGAGGGUGGACGGCCACAUUGGGACUGAGAGACGGCCCAGACUCCGACGGGAGGCAGCAGUGGGGAAUAUUGCACGAUGGGCGCAAGCCUGAUGCAGCGACGCCGCGUGGGGUAUGACGGCCUUCGGGUUGUAAACUCCUUUCGCUAGGGACGAAGCUUUUUGUGACGGUACCUAGAUAAGAAGCACCGGCUAACUACGUG
This 465-nucleotide ribosomal RNA is filed under the name uncultured bacterium. RNAcentral describes it as "partial 16S ribosomal RNA". It matches the Rfam family "Bacterial small subunit ribosomal RNA", at positions 28 to 507 of the family's 1533-position model. The record is from RNAcentral.